CCUGUUUCAUUACCAGCUCUUUGUUUAUUACUUGUUGGCCAAGGUAUUGGUCCUAUUGCCCAAACAGGUAUUCCUAACUUUCGACGAAAAUAUGUUAAUCCAAGCUUGUCUAGACCUUCAAUUGUAUUGAAAAGAAUCCCAUCAGAGUUAAUCCAGUUAGGAAGAUUUUUCCAGUUGAAAUUUGUGUAAGGAUCAUUAGAAUCAGCUUCUAAUAGACUUGGAUUCAAUUGACUAACAUCAAGAUUACCACCUUCUUGAAAAUCAGGCAUAGUAAAAACAAAGUUUUCUGUCUUUUUAUGAGGCAAAUUUAGCCACAUAGAGUAAUAACAUGCCAAGCCAAAACCACCAGCCCCACUAAAAUGACAUGAAAAAUUCCAAAUUCAUGAGCUAUAUUUGCUGACCAUCCAAAAAACAUGUCUGAUAUAACACAAAGUGGCUUUUCAAUAAGACUAGAAAGAAGAUUUCUACAUGAAGGUCCAAGUGAAGAGGAAAUUGUUGCAAAAUGUACAGAGAGUUUAUAAGAAAGUGAAUCAGUGUUUUCAGUGUUUGGAGGCAGACCAUGUUCUGAACUAUUGAAUGGAAUUUCAACAAGGGAAAUAGAUGAAUUUUGAGGUAGAGAUGAUUUGAGUUUUUUGAUAUUGAGAGGUGUAUUCACAAAAAAUCUAUUGUAACCUUUUUUUUCUAAUUUAAAGGCUAAGGUUAAAAAAGGUAUAAUGUGGCCUUGUGCCAUGAAGGGGAAGAGAAGAAUUGUUCCUUUUUUCUUCUCCAUUUUUUUGGUUCUUUUUUCUACUAGAGAGAAAAAAUAAAGCCAAGAAAGUUAGACAUUUAUAGAGGGAAAGAGGAAAGUGUAAAAGCAAUUACUUUUUUUGUAAAAUUAUUCUUCUAUGAUAAAUAAGAAUAGAUCUUCUAAGAUUGUCAUAAUAAACAAAUUUUGACCAAAUAUUUAAAAAAUUUAAUACACCACAUAUGACAAAGAGUAUAAUGUAAAUAUUUACUUUUAUCAUUAAAAGAUUUUAUUCUCUUCAAUGGAAUAUAUUACACUAUUAGAUAUGCUUAAAAUUACUUUUUAUAUAAUAGAUAUGGACCGUCCUUCAACUUCCUUAUGUUUUUUAUUUCUUUACAUUUUAAAUCAUGUUAGUAAAAUUUUUGACUCCGCAAUUAAUGAUGACGAAGUCCAAUAUUUAGUAUUAUAAAAAGUAACAGAAAUCAAAGGAGAAAAACUACAAAAAGUAAUAAUAUUACUACUAAUAUUCAUAUUAUAAAAAGAAGAAGCUAAGCAAUCGAUUUAAAAGUUUUUAAAAAAUGUUAAAAGUAAUUGUUAUCGAGAGGCUUAGAGUCCGUUUUGAUUGACUUAAGAAAUAGUUUUUAAGUCAAAAAAAAGAAGUCAAAUUUAAAUGAUUUUUAAGUCAAAAAUAAAAAGUCAAAUUCAAAUGAUUUUUAAGUCAAAAAAUAAAAAACAGGGGAGACCUACUUUUGGUUUUUGACUUAUUUUAAGUUAUUUUUUACCUUGUCAAACACUUACUAACUUAUUUUAAAUUAUUUUUGACUAAUUUUAAGUUAUUUUUAUAUUUGUCAAACACUUUCAAAAGUCAAAAACGGACUUAAAAUAGGUUUUACUAUACUUGUAACUUAAAAGUCAAUCCAGAAAACUCUCUUUAUCACAUUUUUAUAAUCACAACACAACCUUUAAAAAAAAAACUUCUCUUUUUAAUCUUUUGAUUUUUCCACGAUUGUCAAGACUCCAGAGAAUAUUUUAAAUAUUUUUAAGAAUUUGAAUAUUUAAAUUUUAAAGACAUAAAAAUCACUUUACAUGAUGAAUCGAGUUACUUUAUUUAUUCCUUACAAUUAAGUUAAUUAGUGGAAUUGUAUAGUGCACAAAUGUAAGAAUACAAUAUUUUUCUAAAAUGUGUAAAACAUGUAGAUCAUUGACUUUUUCACUAUUCUCAAGAGAAUUGCUAGAGCUCAAUUUGCUACUCUACUUAACAAACUCUUUAUAAAAAGGAUAAUUAAGAUUUAAGCAAAGAUGAUAACUUUUGCCUGUUGGGGAUAUUUUAAGAACAUUUCCAUGUCUUGUAUUAUUUUCAAAUAAUGAAUUGAAUUCCAAGAUACAACAAUUUAAUAUAAUAUAUAUAUAUUACGGCAAUUGUGGAAAUGAGGGCAGGACUUGAUUAUUAUUUUCAGUUUUUUUUAUUGUUGGAGACUUGGUUCCAAUAUGAUUAUUUUCAAAUUUUUUAUAUUUUAAAAAAAAAAUCCAACUACAUUUUUUUGUUUGAAACAUCUUUAGGAAUGUUUUAAAUAGAGCAAUUUUCACAUAUAGCAAACAACAAAAUCAUAUUUGUAUGCUAUAACAAAGUUUGCAUAAUUGCGCUCCAUAGCAAACAUAUAUAUGUAUAAUUCGCUAUACAUAUACAAUUGAAAGCUAUGUCUAUUUCGCUAUACAUAUAUACAAAAAGAAGCAAUUGUAUAAUUCGUUGGCUCCUCUUUAGAUUUAUAUAAUUUCGCUGGCAGGCCAUUUGUAUAAAUUGUUGUUAGCCUCUCGUUUGUAUAAAUCGUUAACAAAAAUAUUUGUAUAUCAAAAAUCGCUCUCUCUUUCGCUUUAUACAAACAUAAAUUAUACAUUAUAUUUGUAUAAUCUGUGUUUGUAUAAAACGAGAAAGAGAGAAAGGCAAAAGAGUACUGGGCAGGGGAAUAUAUUUGUAUUGUAUAAUUAUAAGUGUAUAAGACGAAUAUAUAUGUAUUUGCAUGUGUAUAUACAAUUUUCUCUCGCUUUAUACAAACAAUAACACAAUUUAUACAAUUCUGUUGUAUAAAACGAGAAAGAGAAAGGCAAAAGAGAACUGGGCAGGGGAAUAUUUGUAUUGUAUAAUUAUAAGUGUAUAAGACGAAUAUAUAUGUAUUUGCAUGUGUAUAUACAAUUUUCUCUCGCUUUAUACAAACAAAAACGCAAUUUAUACAAUUCUGUUGUAUAAAACGAGAAAGAGAGAAAGACAAAAGAGAACUGGGCAGGGGAAUAUUUGUAUUGUAUAAUUAUAAGUGUAUAAGACGAAUAUAUAUGUAUUUGCAUGUGUAUAUACAAUUUUCUCGCGCUUUAUACAAACAGAAACGCAAUUUAUACAAUUCUGUUGUAUAAAACGAGAAAGAGAGAAAGACAAAAGAGAACUGGGCAGGGGAAUAUUUUUAUUGUAUAAUUAUAAGUGUAUAGGACGAAUAUAUAUGUAUUUGCAUGUGUAUAUACAAUUUUCUCUCGCUUGUAACUAUAAUUUUAUGAGUUUACAUAAGCAUAGUCAAUAUUUCUUUUCAGUAGUGUUUAUACACUUUUAUAUAUUAUGGUAUAAUAUAAUAUGGAUACACCAUAACUAAUGUAUCUACUUUGUAUAAAAGUAUAUUAAAAUAUAUCUAUCUCAAAUAAACAUGUAUAGUAAUGUAUAAAAGUGUAUAAAUAUCACUAGCUAUACUGACGAACUUGAUCUUCUAUGAUUUUCAGUUUCAAUUCUUGUUUAAAAUCAAUUCAAAUUUCCACCAAACAACGUUAAAUUUGUAGACAACCUAAUCUGAUGAACAUGAUCUUCUACGAUUUUCAGUUUCAACUUUGAAGAUUUUAACGGUGGAGACAAUCUAAUUUCUUACCAAAUGGGAUAAUGUUGGAUAAGAAAGGAAGAAUUGGGCUAAAUGGUGAUGCAAUAACUUUCUAAUGAACAUAGGGUGUAACAAUUUGUUUAAACAUUAAUUUACUUGAAUUAAUGAUUAGCGGCUAUUUAUUGAUUGAAUCUAGAGAUGCCAAACCUAUUUUCAAUUUUUCUCUAGUUAAUUCUUAUCCUUGAUGGAUUAUUUUGUUCUUCUUCAUCUAAUAUAUAUGAGGAUGCUUAAAUAAUGACUUAUUGAUUUGAUUGUAUUUAUGAAUCUCACAAAUAGUUUUACAAAUAGUUAAACAUUGACUUAUUUGAUUUGAUGAUGAUUGAACAUCAAUAUAUUGAUUUUAUUAACAUUUUGUCUUAAAGUAAUAUUGACUUCUUUCUCCCUUUCGCUUACAUUUCAAAAUACUAGAAAAAAAAAUCAGACAAUGAAGAACUAAAAAGAAGAUGUUUGAAACAUUAAUGAGAAGUUUCAAACAUCCUUAGAGAUGUUUCAAAUAUUCUGAUAAAUUAUUACACAUCUUGUAGGAUAUUUGAAAAUUCUUAGCAACAAUUUUAAUUCAAAAUCAACUCCAAAAAAUUUUAAUUUUUUGUGUUCAAACUCCAAAUACUAUUCCCAACAAUUUUAAAUAAUGCCCAUUUUAGAAUAACGUUAAAAUCAGAUUUUUAAAACUUGAAAGUUAGUUCAACAACAAUGUAAGCUAAGAAGUACGGUUCGUAUGUUGAUGCACGACCCAUAAAUACACCUUCCAAUGGACCUCUAUUUUUUCUUUUCAAUUCCCUGUAUUACACUCCUAUUUUUUAAAUUUUAUUUUUAUUUUGGAAAUCCUGCAUCACAACACACGUUAAAAACCAAACAAGAAAAUCAAAAAAUUUGGAUUGCCUCCAGUAGCACUUGAUUUAAUGUUACAGCACGAUGUAGGUACUACGUCAAUGUGGUAACUAUAGGUUGCAUUGUAUGCUCUUGGCAGCUCCAUUUGCUUACCAAUAUUGAAAGUCACGAUCCAAGCCGACGUGGUUGAGACACAUACUAAUAGAUAACCAUAUCUUAUUACCUAAAACAUGGUAUAACUAAAUCAAUAAUCAUAUUUAAAAAGCAUUAAGGCAAGAAUUAAGAGUUAAACAUAAUAAUAAGAAGUGCGGAAAGUCUAAAUUAUUACAUCCCCGAAAUUCGAAAGUCUUUGUACAUGAGUCUAACUCAAAUGUCUAAGAAUGGUCAUGAAACUAGCUAGAUAAAUAAAUAAACAAUGUCUGUAGAGAGUAGACAUUGAUCAUUUGAGCUUGAUUGGGAGUAGCUCACCCUUAGAUCUAGAGUAUUGUAGCUGCAAUAAAUGUGAGGUCAUGUGGACGAUUCUAGAUCACAAUCUGUACUAAAAAUUGUAGAAAUAGUAUCAGUACAAACACUAGACUAGUCGGCACCACAAGCCGACUAAGAUUUGUAAAAAUGUAUAUAAGGGUAAGUCAUAAAAUAUGUAGACACAUAGUCAAUAAAAUCGAACGAUCAAGAAGUCAACACCAACCAUAUUGAUAGACUCAUUCCGAACAUAUCAAGGUCAAUUGUUGGAAAAAUAAGUCCCCGCAAUAAAUAUAAUGAACACCACAAAAACUCUACACAAUAUAAGCAAAUCACAUAAAAUCAUUGAAAACUUAUCCAUACCGAUCUAUCAGUAUCGGCGUGACACCUGAUUUAUCACUCAUACUACUGAUCCAACACAUAUAACCACUCGUCCAUAAUCUCACACCAAACUCGAGUCACUCAUCAUCAAAAUAGAAUAUGUAUUCUUAUUCUCAACAUAUCUCAGUAUGCUCUCAGCUCAGUUAUCUCUCAUAACAACACAACACACAAUAUAAAUCACAAAUGCACAUCAUAAAUAUAAGUCAUAAAAGACAGUUUUAUAAAAUCCACAAUUUAUUUAUACAAUCAUUAUCAUCCCAAUAAGACUCACAUCACAUAAGAAGAACUAAUCAAAGUCUAACUCCAGGUAAAUUAUAUGCUACCUCAACCAAAGAACUUGAAUCAAACAAGCUCAUGUGAUCCUUCCUUUUUCUUAAAGUCUCUGGAUGCUCCAAGUCUAGAACAUAUAAAUAUAAGAAUAUUCAAUCAUCUUCUCUUCAAACAAUAGUCUUGGACAUUUUAACCCACUUAAUUUUUAUCCAUUAUCAAGGUCUAAUUAAUUCGUGGAGUUUCUACACAUUCACCCCUUGGGAGCAGUUUGUAUGCCCAAUGAAUCUUAAAGUUUUCAGAUAACUCUAGUUAAAGGGAAUAACCAUGAACCAUCAAUCAAGAAUCAUCAAUGGAUUAAAAAUACAAUAGUAAAAUUUAACAAUAAGAAGUUUGUAUUAAAAAAAAACUUAAAUUCAUAGACUUUGAAGGAAAAACCCUAACUUUGAUCUUACUAACUCAACUAAGAUUCUGCCGCCCUUGACUGACUUUCUAUUUGAUUGUACCGAAAAGUCAAUGAAUUAAGAUUGUUUUAUUGUUUCUUUUCAAAACUAAUAGAGGCCCUCGAUUCAAAUUUGAGAUGACUCAGUUAAAAUAUCACUCUUUUGAAAAAUUCUAUUGUUUCUCUUUGAAAAUUGAAGCAUUAUCCAAGUUGCCUAAAUCAUAAACAACAUAAUAUCACUCAAAGAGUUAGAAGAUAAUAUUAGCAAAAUGGCUUUAUUACUAAUCGAAUUGGAAAAAGUUGAUCAAUAAUAUGAUAUGUUAAACAAGAUGAAAGAGAAGGAACUUUAGUUAUGCUUUAAUUUAUCAAACAAGACCUUAUGGAGUGUUGAAUAAUUAAUUUUUUCCCUUUUUUUUUUUCACUAUGUAAAGUAAGAAUAAUUAUUCUUAUCUUACCUUUUAAUUUUAUUUUUAUCUAACCUUAUUAAGUUUGAUUUUUGCAGAUGAAUUUGAUAGCCAAGCUAGAUAACCCUUAUAUUAUUGAGUACAAGGAUGCAUGGGUAGAGAAGGUGUAUAUAUUUAUACAAUUAACAAAAUUUUCUAUAAGGACUUAAUAUUCUUUUAUUUAGUACACAUAUUCAUGUAGAAUGCUAAAAAAUAUUUAUGUGAUGUUAUACAUAAAUUAGGACUCCUUUGUCUGCAUUGUUACAAGCUAUUGUGAAUGUGGAGACAUGUAAGUUUCCUAAACAUGCCUAAAUUAGCACUAAUUUAUCUUAAUCAAUAAUAAUGAUGUAUUUCUUGAUAGAUUUUGAACUUGUUUUCAGGGCUAAUAUGAUUAGAAAAGCCAGAGGAACAUUUUUCCCUGAAGACGUAAGAAAAAUAAGAAUAAAUUUCCAACAAAACACAAAACGGAUUUUGAUUCAGUUGUUACUGGCCCUCGAUUACCUUCACUCGAAUCGUGUUCUUCACAGAGAUCUUAAAGUAUGACCUUUUUUAUAAAAAAAUUGUAGUGUUUUGGAGUAAUUCAUACUAAUAGUUUUCAUUUGCUUUGCCCCAGUGCUCUAACAUUUUCCUUACCAAAGUUGACGAAGUCAGACUUGGUAAGAAGAGUAAAUAGUCCAUAUAGUAAGUGUUUAUUUGCUGCAAAUUGUGUGUUGCAUAUGAUACUUGUUAUGUCUAUAGGUGACUUUGGAUUAGCCAAACUGUUGAAUAAAGAUGAUCUCGCCUCUUCGGUAAUAAACCCUCCCUCAUUGCAUUGCAAUGUUCUUGUUCAUUUUAUGCAUCUCAAUCAUUUCUUUCCAAAUUGGACGUCUCAAAAUAUAAUGUCACAUAAAUUGAAGCAGAGGAAGUAGAUAAGACAACUCUUAUUUAGUUGUUCAAUGUGAUGUAGAUUGUGGGUACUCCAACAUAUAUGUGUCCUGAGCUUCUAGCAGAUAUACCUUAUGGAUAUAAAUCAGACAUAUGGUCUCUAGGUAAAUCAUCAUCUUCAACUUAUAAAAAGUGCAAUUUUUGAAUUCUCAAUUGCGCGCUCAACAUUGAUUAUAAUGGUUUGCUUCUCAGGUUGUUGUAUGUUUGAAAUUUCUGCUCAUCAAGCUGCAUUUUGUGCUACGGUUAGUCAUUAAACUUUACGGACUAUAACAACUAUAAUGUGUUACAUUUUGUGACCAUAUGUGAAAUUAACUCGAAAAACAGGAUAUGGCUGGGCUAAUCAACAAAAUAAACAGAUCUACUAUAUCUCCACUUCCAACCAUAUAUUCUUCUACAUGGUAAGACGAUACAUCAAUUUCUCCUUUCCACAGUACGUUAUUGUGACUGUUUCAUCAAUUUCUUAUAUGGAUUUGUUCGUUCCAGGAAACGACUGAUUAAAAACAUGCUAAGAAAAAGCCCAGAACAUAGACCUACGGUACGUGUUACUACUUACAUUUUGUUGUAUGUAUGUUGCAUACAUAUUUACUGAUUCAUUACUUCUUGUGUCUGAAUAUAUAUUAGGCUGCAGAGUUGUUAAGGCAUCCACAUUUACAACCAUAUCUUGCUAAAUAUCAGAACUUGUCACCAGCAUUUGUUCAAGUAUGUUCUAAGAAGGAAUCAAAACAGAAUAUUCCUGAUCAAACUCGCGAGAAUUCAACUUCCAACGAUAUUAGACAAGCAAAACAACACGAGAACGUUGUGCAAUUGAUAUAGUUGUUCAUGAAUUCAAAGGUAAUACGUGUAAGAUUGAAAAAAUUAACGUUCAGACAAAGAAAAAUGGAAAUUUGGACAUAUCCGUCAAGAAAAGUGAAAGCACAAAUUCCAUAAGCUCUACAAGAAGUACCUUAACUGAUAAUACAAUUGAAGGUACAAUUCAGAAGAUUGAAAGGCCAAGUAAGGACAAGAAAGGUACAAAAUGCUUUUUUAAGAAAUCAGGAAUACCAAAACCAUAUGUUGAAGUUACUUCAAAUGCCAAUAAAGUUAGAGCAAAAGCCAUUAAUCAUCUAAGUACUAAUCAACAUACAGAAAAACGUGAUGAUCACAAACGAGCAUCGAGUGAUACUUCAGUAAUAAGCAAUGGAAGGGAAGAAGCAUUAGAGUCAUUACUUGAACUUUGUGCAGAGUUACUUAAGCAUAAAAAGCUAGAGGAAUUAGCUGGUGUGCUAAAACCAUUUGGUGAAGAAGUUGUUUCUUCUAGAGAAACAGCAAUAUGGUUGACAAAAGGAUUAAUGAAUCUUCAAAAUCCAAAGUGAAGAAGCUUAGAGUGCCUCCUAGGUUGUUAAGAUUUUUUUUGUAAUAUAAUAGCAUUGGUUUUUUUUAUUAUUUAAUCUUGUAUGCAUGAAGAUAAUGAACAUUUUAUUACUUUUCAAUCUAUUUCAUUUUCUAAGAACAAUAUUUUUUCAGUGAACAUAAAAAAAGAAAAAAAAAAAAAGAACGACUGACACAAAAAAUAAGAUAUAUAACAUACCAAAAAGUACUAUAUAAUAUAUUACAUCAAUUUGUAGAAAAUAAUAAUACUUCUGUUGUUUUUAUACGAACCAAAAAGUACUCUAUAAUAUACCACAUCAAUUUAUAGAAAAAAUAAUAAUCCUUCUGUGUUUUUUAUAGGAAGAUGUUUGGGUAAUAUGGAGUUUAAGAAAGAAAGAUAGACUUUUGGUUAAUUGAUUAUACAAUACAAUAUAUAACAUUGUAAUGACCAAUUUUUCAUUCCUAAAAAGUAGCAAUCAAGACAAGAAAAUUAGUGACAAGUAAUAGUGUAAUACUAUUUAAUUUCAAUGGUUUAUGCGGGGUUACAAUUCUUAUAAAAUUUAAUAUAAAAAUAUGUAAACCUCUUAUUGUUUUUUCCACGACCAUCAACUCAAAAGAUUUGCUUUGUUCUUAAAUCGAUAAAGUACUUGUUGGAAUUUUACCACAAACACGGAGCCGAGCUUUGAUCACAAUCCUGGAGGCACAAAAAAUUGUAGCUUGUCACGUGAAGACGAAGACUUCUUUGUAUACGGAAGACUUGUGGAUCACCACUGAAGAGGAGAGUUUUCCUAUUAUUUAUCCUUUUCUUUUUUUGGUUGUAUGGAGACCUCUUUAUAUAGGCACGAGUUAAGGCUUGAGGUAUUUUGGUAUCCAAGUAAUUCUAGUGGAUCUUGGGUUUGAAGAGCAUGGGUUGGGCUCGUCUUGUUAACUUAACAGACUGACCCAAAUGUAAUUGGACUUCAAUUAAGUCAUAUAUUUUUUUAUUAAUAACUAAUCUAACUUAUUAACCAAUAACUUGACUUGAUGGACAUAUUGGGAAUUUAAGAUUUAAUUCAAAAUUUAAUAUGAAUUUAUUUAAUAAAAUUUCAAUGUUUACACAUGCCCAAAAAUUCUUCAAAUUAAAAAUCGGUUCGAUUUAAUUUUUUUUCCAACUUAAUCGGAAUAGUGCGCGCAUACCCCUAAUAAAGGCCAAGGCAAUGUGAUUCCAGAAGUUAUUAUAAUUUAUUUCUAUUUAUUUUUAUUAUGUUGACACAAAAACUAUUACAUAAUGAAAUUCAUACAAUGAAAAAAAAAGUAAAAGAUUCAUAAUGACGUUAAACGUCAUAAUUAGUAAGAAUAUCAACACACUCCUUAUAUUUUAUAUUAGUUGAAUUUGUGAGGCAGUGCACACUUAUUAAGACAUCUUAAGAACAUAAUUUAAACCGUAUUUUCCACUAUUGUCCUUUGUGAAAUCAAUAAUGUAACUUUGUAAGUUGAUAAGGUUCAAAGGGACACUUGAAAGAAAUAAGAUUAAUUAUGUGGAAUUAUCAAAAUCAAAUCAAAUUUAUGAACAACAAAGGACUCUAUACCUUCACCUCUCAAUUGAAUCCGACCAAAUAACAAUAACCCGAACUCAAUCAAAAAUGAGAAAACCAAUUGAAUCCACUAAGAGGGUAACUCGAUGAUUGAUUAAACUAGAAGAAGUUAACACAAGCAAUAUCGGGAAUCCACCUUAAUCACUCAACUACAAUUACCAACUACGAACUACACUAAUGCUAGGUUUCACCUAGAAACUACAAACUUCAAAGCUCUCAAAUAUUCAAUUCAUCAUAAUCUUCAUAAUCUAACUUCUAAAAUGAAAAAGACUACUAUUUAUACUAAGAAAAUAAACAAGACACUUUCAUUAUAAUUUUACCCUUAUACUACCUAAAUCCAUCAUCAAUCUAACAAUAACUAGCCACAUGUUCAACAACCCAGACUUCAUAUGCGAAGGCCUAUACAUGCAAUCUCCAACAAUCCAUAAGAUAUAAUGUAAGUGAAGACAAGCCUAAAUACUCAGUUAAAAAGGUCUAGCUUAUCUGGGCACCAAACAACUGCUAAUGAAUUUCGGACAAAAGCUUUUGUCUUGGUGAGAGCAAAUCGUGAUGAAAGAGGAUCACAAUUCAUUGGAUUUUUACCUUCUUUGCGCUGAAAUCUCUUCACUUCAUUGCUCCCAGGAUACUAGUGUCUUGGGGGAAUUUUUGGGGUAGCCCCCAUCUGUUUUUCAUCUAGAAAGUGGAGAAAAAAAAAAAAGACAUCGUAUUUAGUUAAUUAGGUUCUCAUUCCAUCAACUUGAUAUAGAGUCCAUGAAGGCGCUAUAUCAUUCAAUGAUUUUUAUUCUUCAACUUGUGAUCAGAUUUUCUCUCUCUAUCAACUAAUUUAUUAGGGUCAGAAAGAUACCCAAAUUUUAAUCAUACUCCGAUGAACUUGGAUGUCCGAAGGUGUAACAACCUGAUUCCAUCGUUAUGGAAAAGCCAAUGGGGAAAAUUUUUGGGCCGAAAAACUUUUUGGUAGUAACUUGAAAUUUCCCAACCUAGUCCAGAUUUGGACGAAAUCGGAGCCAGUGAGGUCUAGGGAAAUUUGGUAACAAAUGGAAGAUCUAAUUAUGAUUUUGAUCACAUGAGUAGAUAGCUAAGACGUUAAGGAACCCGUAUGACUUUACGGAAUCGAAUUCGAACGAGUAGAACUCCCGAAAUUGAUCUUAGCGUGAACGGGUAUUUUUUUAGUGUCAUGAGUUGAAAGUGUGUUGUAAAUUGGGAUUUUGAAACACUUAAUUAGCUAUUUGUUUCCGUGAAAGCCGCUAGGAAGGGAUUAUUCCCGCCAGGGCGGAGCCGCUGUAGCAGGGUGAGUACCGAUGUAACGGGGUCAGACACGACUUAAGUCGGAAACAAACCCCAAAAAUGUUUUAUUCUGCACUUUUCGACUUUGAGAGCUAGGAGACGAUCCCAGGUGCUUUCUUGGCACCAUUCUUAAGGCUAAAGGUAAGAUUUUAGCUCCCUGAACCCAUUUUCGAUCCGUAGAAUGUAAUCUAGUGGGUAAUUAUCGAUGGGGGAGGGUUUUGAUCUGGGAAUCAUGGUGGAAAAAGCCCUAAUUUGGAUAUUGGGAUCAUGGGUUUGAUCUAGGGUUGAUAGGAUUGUUGGUAAGUCGGGUAAUUAGUUAUUGUUUAUUGAUUCCAGUGUUAUAUUAAUUGUUUAUAGACCAUGAACAAGCGGAACGAAUCCGAAAAGGGAAGAAUCAAGUUUCUUAGGGCAUUCAACCUUGUUUCGAGGUAGGUGAUAGUUGUGAUUCCAUGUGGUGUGACGUAUGCUUGUUCUUGCUUCAUUAUAAUACAUGUAUGUAUGAGAAUGUUGCAUUAUUGAUCACACUAAUUGUAAAUGAGGAUAGAUGAAUGAUGAAUGCCAUGAACCAUGAUUUGAUUGUAUGAUUAGGAGAGUGUACUUUGUGAUUGCGAUUGUGGCUUGUUGAAUGGAUCGGGUGUUGUGUUCCAUCACACUAACUUGGAUUGGUUGCCAUGUUUCGACAUAAAUAUGGGAUCGGUUGCCACAUUCUGGCAUAAACAUUGGAUUGGGUACCACAUACCAGUAUGCUAACAAUUUGGGUGUAGGUUCCAUGAGAGGACCAUUGAAUUGGGUUUUGUGAGAGGACCAUUGAAUUGUGUUGUGUAUCUACUUGUGAUGAUUACGUUCAUAUCUAAUAAUAAUUGAAAGAUUGUAUGUUGCUCUAAAAUGAUAACCAAUGUGUAUUAUUGAGAACGUGGAAUGUUACAUUGAUCCUGAAAAGAUGACUAAUAUUGUAUAUGUUCGGUAUAUGCUUGUUUUAUAAUGUUGUGGUUACUUGCAUGUGUUUCACUUAUUGGGAUAGCCGCGUGAUCCUAUCAGUACACUGUGGUUGUGUACUGAUACUGGACUUGCUUUUUCUUUGUUGAGUACAGGGCAUCUUCCGGCGGCUUGAUGAGUCCACAAAUUGGACUCAUUUAGGGCUAUAUUUUAAUAGAAAUUGUGUCCUCAAAUGUUUAUUUUAUCUCAAUAUCUGAUGAAAACCCUUUAAGUCUCAGGUAUUUGAAGGUUGAAGGAGAGCAUGGACACUGCUUCUCAAAAAGGAAUGAAAAGGCUGAAAAGAACGAAGAAAAUGAAGGCAUGAGGAUCACCGAGUCCACUUGGCGAGUCGCCGAAGGGUCUCACUUCACCUUUUGUUCCAGUGUGUUGAGCCCUGAAAGAAAGGAUCAAGUCGACGGAAAAAUGGAGCAAUCGACGCAUCGCUGAGAUGUUCCGCGAGGCAGUACUAUGUCGCCCAAUGACCCAGAGCACGACGAUACUGAAGGAUGGUGCAAGACGGCGAUGAACUACAUCAAGGGGUGAAUCGCCGAGUUAAUCGGCGAUUUCGACUAAUGUCGCCGAAUGGUCCGCUACAACACAUAUUUUCUUUAAAACUAUAAAUACUCGUAGAGAGUUUUAGCUUAGUAUCAGAGAUUUUUGGUGUGAAACAAUUAAUAUAAUUUUAGUACUUUUUUAUUUUGCUCUGAGUUUAAGAGGGUUUGGAAAACUUGAAGAAGAAGAGGGUUUCAUNNNNNNNNNNNNNNNNNNNNNNNNNNNNNNNNNNNNNNNNNNNNNNNNNNNNNNNNCAAAUCUUCAUACCCAUUUGAAUGCAAGCUCAUUUAGGUANNNNNNNNNNNNNNNNNNNNNNNNNNNNNNNNNNNNNNNNNNNNNNNNNNNNNNNNNNNNNNNNNNNNNNNNNNNNNNNNNNNNNNNNNNNNNNNNNNNNNNNNNNNNNNNNNNNNNNNNNNNNNNNNNNNNNNNNNNNNNNNNNNNNNNNNNNNNNNNAGGAUAUAUGUAUUUUAAUGGUGAUUUCACCUAGUGGUUGUGGUUUAAUUUAAUGGGUUUGCAGUUGAAAAUACAAAACCACCCAUGUGUUUUCGGCUUGCCCGAAAUGGAGGUCGCGAAACCAAGACAGCUAGGCUGAUGGCCUAAGGAGUGGGUCGACAUGAUAUUCAGCCCGAGAGGGUGAGCCCUACUCCCAUAUCCUAACACUCAGCUUGAGAGGGUGAGUGGGGUAAGGCGUAGGCUGGUCUUCAUGCGGCAAGUGGGUGUCUGAGAGGAACCCAUUUGAAACAGGGUAAGUUGCUCGAGAGAGAAUUUAUUCCCACGUAUAGCUUAGCCUAGUCACUAUUACUCUAUAAAUUUUCUAUCGAAAGGAUGUACCAAAUAAUUUAAAUUAAUCCGUAUUCCGGUCACAUCCCAAUAAUCCCCUCUCAUUACUUAUAAAUCCUUGUUUAUUUUGUUGUUUUUACUUACUAGUGACAAAACCCAUAUUGUUAAUUGACACUCUUGUGUACCCCCUUUAAUUUACAAUUUUUUAAUCGUUAAUGUCUUUAGCUACGACUAGUUAGAACUAAUUUUAUCUNNNNNNNNNUCUUGGGAACGAUCCCAACCCUUGGUUGGGUUAUUAUACUAUUGUAUGAUCGUAGACACUUGCAUCAAAAGUUGUGUUGUUUAUUACGCAAAACAUCAAAAUGGCGUCGCUGCCGGGGAGUGGUGUCACUUGAGAAUUCUUAGAUUAGUAGAAUUUUUGUUCUUCUUAGUUGUAGUUUACUUACUCAAUCUUUAGUUUUGUUUUGUUAGCUUGAUUAUAUCCAAACAGGGGAAGCAAGCGUGGCUAGCUAUACUUGGAAGCCAAUGGAGUUUCCUCCAUUAGAAGUAAUGGUGUUCCAAAAUCGUAUCCUCACCUUCAAGCAAUUGGAAGGUGAACGGAUCCACAGGUCAUGGGCAAGGUUUAAUGAACUGAUCAAUCAAUGUCCGAAUCAUGACAUUCCCAACGUAGCUCUCCUUGACUGUUUCUAUAGAGAUCUUGGUCCUGGUAACAAAAGGUUGGUAGACCAACUCAUUCCAGGAGGCAUUGCGAAACAGCCAUAUGUGAUAGCAGCUCGACUGCUUAAUCAAAUGGCUGAAACAAACCAAGAAGUAGAAAAAGACUUCAUGCUGGCCGCCCUAAUGACUCAGAUGGAUGAGUUGGCCAAAAAGAUGGUGAAGAUCGAAGUCCAGUGUAAGAGGAAGGAUAAAUACAUUCCCCUUCAUGAGCGAAGAAGUCUCAAGGACAAUGAGGUUAAAAGCCUUGAGGGAAUGCUCUCUAUCAUUCUCAACAAGGUGACUGAGCAAGAUAGAGAGCUGAAAGAAAUGAAGGAAGACAUUGAAUGAAUGAAGCGGAUGAUUUGGUCUCACUCCAGAGCUGUCUAGUUGCUCGAGAACCUCAUGGGUUAUGCGUCGCCCGAUCUCCACCGGCAACAAAAUGGGGGUUGCCUGGUGAUACCAAGGCUAACCCCAAAAAUGGAGUUUGAGUGUUGGCGUACGUCGUGCCACGAUGUUAACUAAGGCGCUAUUUGGGAGGCGUACCAAAACCUUUAUUGCUUUAUUGUUGUUUUAGAAAUAACGGUGUGUUGAAUGAACAGGUUAAAGUGUGGAGAGUGUGUGGAAAUUGCGUUUGGCGAACUAAUAGUUCCAUUCAGCAAAUCGCUGAACAGGUUGGCGAUCCUGAUGAAAACUGCCAUUUGGACCUUCUUUUUGACCGAAGGUCCUGUAAAACUCGGUGAGGUAAAUGAUCAUUCGGCGUGUCGCCGUCUGGAUCGGCGAGUGCGACUAAUGUCACCGAAUGGUUGAGAACUGGACGGUUUAUAACGGCCAAAAGUCCUAGAAUUUGAAAUCCUUCACUUUCCGUCGCUUUUAAUCUUCACAAACUCACAAUUCUUAUAUUCCACUAGUAUUUUGGUUGGUUGAUUUGUGCUCGGAGUUGGAUUUCUUUGCUGCCUAGCUUUUCAAUCACAUUUUAAUCGACGAAGAAGGUUAGUUCUCCAAACCCCGAGUUUACUUUCAAAUAGUUUGUACUCUUUUGCAAUGAUCGUAUCUUAUUGAUGUGUGUUGGGCCUCUCUGAUAAGAUUAGAAUGCUUAAAUGCCUAUUUUAAUUGAAAAAUCUUGCCCGUAUUGUUUGAUUGUCGAAUGCCCAUAAUUUUUGUGUGUUUUUAAUGAAUCGGGUUGUGAUUGCGUGUUGUUAGAUUGAUUGGGCGAAGUCUGAAUAGCCCACGUUUGUGCUAAAUGUCAAAAAUUUGCUCAAUAAUAGAGCGGGUGACGCCACUCUUAAGAGCAAAUAUCGUCAAAUGGCUAAAUUCGACAAAUCCGAGAGAAAUCUAAGUAUCCCGGGGUGAUGGUUAGUACAGGUCUUGUUUGAAUUUCGUUAGUGCAUGCUUUGAUUUUGCAUUGAAUUCGAGAAGAUGGAUUGAAAAUGGGCACGUUAGGCCAUUUGGCGAGUUAGGUCGAGCUCGCCGAAUCGUUCGGAGGUUCGCUCAUUGUCUACAUAUCACCCUUAUUUUCGUGUUAAAUUGUAUGUUUGAGUUUGUAACUUUUGGCGAGAAACCAUGGGUCGCCGAACGCACUCGACGACUCGCCGAAAGUACUCUUGAUCGUUCUUUAUUUGUACUCCUGACCCCCUAAUGCACUGUAACUUUCGGCAGACAAACCCAUGCUCACCAAAAGUAGUCGGCGAUUCGUCGAAAGGACCUUCCCAUCGCCCACUUGCUAUAAUUUGAAGCCAACCCUUUUGGUGAGCCCUAGUUAGCUCGCCAAAGAGGUUCGGCGACUCGCCGAUCCACUUGGCGAGUCUUCCUGCAAUAGAUUGCCUGUGUUUCUAUUUGAUUUUUCCCCUAACUCUUCCCAAUCGUUUGUAGGUAUGACUAAACCUAACAAAGCAGGUAGCAACACACCACUCCGAGGCAAAGAAAAAGGGAUCACAAUCAAUGAGGAUGCAACUGCAUCCAGGACCAUGGCCACUAAACUUUCCACAAUUAGUGGGAAAGGAAAGGACAAGGAUAAAACCGUUGAGCUAUCAGAUGCAAGUUUUGAUAGUACUGGUUUUUACACCAAUGACCCAACAACAUAUGAUAGUGAGGGUAUGGGUUCUGAUAAAGAUGAACUGAUGGAGGCACGGAGGAAUCAAGUACGAUCUAACAGCUGAACGACCCAUCUUGGGUCAGAAAUCCUCGAUCCACCACUCCGACUCCUCCAGUUCCAGAGCAUGCAAUAGUACUGGCACCUCCAAUACAAGGUCCCCCACCUAAAUUAACGAACAGAUUAAAGUCUGAGGGGCUGAGAACUAUUAUUGAGGAAAAAUGGUUGUCCAUAAAUUGAGUGAUGGAUAGGUAUCUCGAGAUAAUAGAGUGCCUAAAAUAUCACAAAUUUCAAAUCUUCACAAAACCCCAUGGCUCCUACAUACCAAGAUGGGUCAGAGAAUUUUACAAUACAUAUAGUACAUUGAUACCUCAACGGAAGAAACUAGUGUCGUCUUUUAAAGCAGUUCACUACGUGGUUGUCAGAGGGAGGAACGUAGCUUGUGACAGUGAAGCUAUAAACACGGCCUUGGGUAUGUCCAAUAAGAUUAAUGAUCAUUGCCAGCACUUGAUCAUAACAGAGAAGUUGGAUGAGAUGAAAAAGUGGUUUGCCCCGCUAAUCUCAGAUGACAAUGCUCUAAAAUAGUUAGCAGAAGGAGUUUCGAUUGCAAAGAAAGAUCUGAACGUAGCUGCAAGAUACUGGUUCGAAUUCAUCAGUAGCAUAACUAUGCCAUCACAGAAUGAAUCAAUCAUCCGCGUUGCUAAGGCAACAUGUCUUGGAUGCAUCAUAGAGAAAACCAAGAUAAAUCUAAGGAUGAUCAUUGCUUCUGAGAUCCAUAUGCGUGCAAAGCAGGGCCAGGCAUCUCUCCCUUUCCCAAUAUUAAUCACUGCAUUGUGCAAAAGAGCUCGGGAGCCUAGAGAUGCAAAGAAGGAUGUGAAAUUGGUUGUCAUCGCGAUUCUGCAUCCACCGAUGGAUAAAAUGCUCCAGUUUUCCAUUCUCAUAUGAGGCCGGAAAGUGGAUUGGGAACAGGUCGGCACGAAGUGAUUCAUCAUGCUCAAACAUGAGCCGAUCACUCGUUAGGGAUGGUUUAUAGAUCAUAAAAUUCCCACAAAUGGAAUGAAAAGUGGGUCCAUGUAAAUGAUCAAGACCUCGCAAACAACAAUGCUCCUUCCCCAUAUGGAGUUCGGAACCCAAAGGCAAUCAUUGAGUGAACUGUAUCUUUUUUGUGUUAGUUGACCUAAGGCCUCAACCGAUAUCCGAAAGAUCGAAGCCGAAUAUCUUAAGGACCAAGCGAAAAAGAAGCUGAAGGAAGCUGUGGUCACUGGAUCUAUACUUGCAGAGACACUUUAGCCUACUCCGGCCCUUGGGCCUUCAGGUAUAUUUGACGCCAUUACCACUUCUGCUGACCCUCCAGGUCCCUCUGCUGCUGCAUUACCACCUAGACCUACUGCUGUUGUUGACUCAUGUGAGCCGAUCACUCAGGCAUCCUUGAUUCGGAUGGGACAGCUCGCUCAAUCUGCUGAUUUCUGGGCUGCCAACAUAGAAAGCUUCAUUCCAUGAAUGAUUCAGGUUGCUCUCGAUGAUGUUGUGGAACCACUGAGCACUAUGAUUGAUGUUGUGGAAGCUAGGAUAGUAGUGUGUGAGAGCGACCAAGGAGCCACAGGAGAGGUGAUAGGCUUAAAGGCCGUCAUUGCAUAGAUGAGAAAAGAUGUGGACUACCUAAAGUCCACCGAUAUGUCCAUGAUCUUUGGAACACUUGAAAUUCUAGAUGUGCCCGAAAUGCCUCAGACCACCACAGGAUAUGGGAAUGGAAUAGAGUAAACAAUCGAUCCUGAAUCAGAGGCAGAGACUGACGAAGAGAUGUUUGAGGGAGUUGUAGCAGAAGAUAUAGCCGAGACUAAAGAAAUCAUGAUAGAUGAUAUUGUGCAGGCUUCCUUGGCAAAGGCUCCUGCUACUAGAUCCAGUGAAGUUAGUUCUUUUGGGGGUCACUCCGGGCACUGAAGCCCAGACAGAUGGAGCGACCAAUUAGCCAGGAUCCCCUCUUUACCUACCUCUUUGUCUUUCUUUAUUUUACCUUUUUGGAUUCUGUGGUUAAUUGCAUUUGAGGACAAAUUGCUUUUAUUUGUGGUGGGGUGAGGCCCACACCUUUUAUGUUGAUAGUUAUGUUCUGUGUAUAUAUUUGGGUUGUUCUGCUUUGAAAUUGUGUUUUAUCUAUUUUUGUGGAUGUUUGAGCUUAUGGCUCCUUUAAUUUUAAAUUGCAAAACGAUUUUGACCCUUUCGAAAAUUUUUGUAUUUUUCGCACAUUUUUGCCACCCUUUAUAUGCUAUUGAAUGUGACUGUUCUUUUACAAAAUUUAAGUCUCGGUUCUGAUCAAUAUCGAUGACUUGAAUAGUGCUCUCAAUCGAACGAACAUGAAUGUACGGCUACGAUGAGGCCAAAUGAAGUUGCAUAAACAAUAUGUGAACUCUUUGCACUUGUUAUGAUUAGCCAUUUAUCAAAUCGAGUCUCUUGUAAUGAUCAUUGCACAUUAGCGAAAGUGUGGAGUCUUGUUUGACUUUAGUGUCGAUGCCUUGUGUAAUGAUCUUACUUUGAACCAUGCAUGAUAGAUCCUAGAAUUUGCCCCGUCGGUCUGAUCAACUAAGUGAUGUUAUCUCUUGAUAUGAUCUUAGAAAAAUUCUAAGAGUGUGAGCCAAUUUGACAUAUACCUCUUUUGUGACCUACCCUGUAAGCGUGUGAUUCUCUUUUGAACACCACUUGAGCCUUACCUUUCUUUGGAAGAAACUUGAUGAAACCAUAACCUUUCUUAAUCCGCUACCAAUAAUCCUCUUGAAUUGUGGUUAGUUGAAUAGACAACUUAGGCCAAAAGCCUAAGUUGGGGGUGUGGUGAAAAGAAAAGGAGAAGUCAAGAAGUGCGAGGAAAGUCUCCUCAUAUCCAUGGUUUUAAGAAAAAUGGAACCCCUCCAUAUAAAAAAUAAGAAUGAAAAAGAAAGUUGUGGAAUAAAAGUACAAAAAGAAAUGGGGUUCUCAUACAAUCCAUGGAAAGUGAAUAAUAUGAUGACUUAUAAGCAGUAAAGAGAAUGAUGAAGGAAAAGGAAAGGAAGUGUUGUGAGCACCACAUUUCAUGAGGAUGAAAGUCACUGCGCCUAAAUGACCAUACAUUUGCACUCAGCCCCAUUACAAGCCUUGAAAAAACCUUUUUUAUCUUGAGUGAGCUGAAACAAAUGUUGAUCGAAAAAUAAGGGCAAACAUAUGGGUGAAAGCAUGCAUUGUGUUCAUCUUUGUGAAAGUAAGCGUUGCAUCUGAUUCCGAAGGUUUAAGCUGUGAACCAUCGUGUGAUUAUGGAAUCAUUCUUUCUGUGAGGACAUUCGAACACUUUGGUUGAGCUUGAACUUGCAUUUGAUGCAAGUAUUGUGAACAUGAGAUUAUUUGAUAUUAGUGAGUCACAACUUGAAUCUUUGAGUACACAUUUGAUCUUUGCAUAAGUAAAUUGAGUUUUGUUGUGUGUAUUCAUGAUUGAGUCUUGUGUAGCACUGUUCGAGACACCCUUUUUGAACGACUAAACUUGAGUUUACUUGAGAACAAGCAAAAGUUUAAGUUGGGGGUGUUGAUGAGUCCAGAAAUUGGACUCAUUUAGGGCUAUAUUUUAAUAGAAAUUGUGUCCUCAAAUGCUUAUUUUAUCUCAUUAUCUGAUGAAAACCCUUAAGUUUCAGGUAUUUGAAGGUUGAAGGAGGGCAUGGACACUACUUCGCAAAAAGAAAUAAAAAGGCUGAAAAGAACGAAAAAAAUGAAGGCCUGAGGAUCGCCGAGUCCACUUGGCGAGUCGCCGAAGGGUCUCACUUCGGUUUCUGUUCCAAUAUGUUGCGCCCUGAAAGAAAGGAUCAAGUCGACGCAUCGCCGAGAUGUUCCGCGAGGCAGUACUAUGUCGCCCAAUGGCCCAGAGCACGACGAUGCUGAAGGCUGGUGCAAGACGGCGAUGAACUACAUCAAGGGGUGAAUCGCCGAGUUGAUCGGCAAUUCUGACUAAUGUCGCCGAAUGGUCCGCUACAGUAUAGAUUUUAUUUAAAACUAUAAAUACUCAUAGAGAGUUUUCUCUUAGUAUCAGAGAUUUUUGGUGUGAAACAAUUAAUAUAAUUUUAGUGAUUUUUAUUUUUGCUCUGAGUUUGAGAGGGUUUUGAAUCUUGAAGAAGAAGAGGGUUUCAUCUUCAAGGAUUUGGACUUGGGUCUCUUGGAUUCUUCAUUCUUGGCCUGUAAAAAGAUUCAAAUCUUCAUACCUAUUUGAAUGCAAGCUCAUUUAGGUAUAAAUUUAUAUCUCUUGAUGUGUGGCUAAAAAUCCCAAUUCUUAGGGUGUGAUUUAGCGAAUAUGGGUUAAGAUUGUUGUUGCGUCUUGCUUGAUUAUAUAUUAGAUUUAGUUUAAUGGUGAUUUCGUCUAGUACGUAGUUGUGGUUGAAUUUAACAAAUUUGUAGUUGCAAAUACAUUUAUUUAUGUGUUUUCGACUUAUUCGAGAGAGAGAUCGUGAAACCAAGACUACUAAAUUGAUGGCCUUAGGAGUUGGUCAACAUGAGGCUCAGCUCGAGAGAGUGAACCCUAGUCCUAUAUCCUAACACUUAGCUCGAGAGAGUGAGUGGGGUAAGGCGUAUGCUGGUCUUCAUGCGGAAAGUGGGUGUCCGAGAGGACAUAUGAAACAGGGUAAGUUGCUCGAGAGAGAAUUUAUUCCCACGUAUAGCUUAGCCUAGUCACUAUUACUCUAUAAAUUUCCUAUCGAAACCAUGUACCCAAUAAUUUAAAUUAACCCGUAUUCCGGUCACAUCCCAAGAAUCCCCUCUCAUUACUUAAAAACCCUUGUUUAUUUUGUUGUUUUUACUUACUAGUGACAAAACCCCCAUUGUUAAUUAACACUCUUGUGUCCCCCCUUUAAUUUACAAUAUUUUUAAUCGUUAAUGUCUUUAGCUACGACUAGUUAGAACUAAUUUUAUUUUUCUUAUUAAUUCUCAAAACCACUCUCUUGGGACUCGACCCCAACUCUUGGUUGGGUUAUUAUACUAUUGCACGAUCGUAGACACUUGCAUCGGAAGUUGUGUCAUUGAUUAAGCAAAAUAUCACGGCUAUUGACAAACCUCGCUUAGAAGAUCAGUGAUCAAUUUGAAUUCAAGGGUGAGCUAGUUCUUCCGGGCUACCAUGAGUUCUCUUUCUGUUUAUGUCCACAUUUCGAACUUAGACUAGUUCUUUAGAUUUCUUAUGUUAGUUUGGGAUGGUACCACUUCUUGUUUAGACUUAUGGUUGAACUUUAAAUGUUUUGGUACAUUGACUUUCAGUUUCUAGGUAUUUAUUCUGCAUUUGUUUUGGGUUGUUAAACUUUUGUUGGAGUUUAUGAGAACUCCUCAUUUCUUUCCUUAGCAUUUAAAGUUGCUUUUGUAACCUUAAAUGCCUUAGUAUUUUGAUGUAGUUGGUUAGCUAAUUAGUAUAAAUGGUUCUCCCACUGGAGGGUUAGUGUGGGUACCACUCACGACGGUCUGGGUCGUGACAAAGUUGGUAUCAAAUCCCUAGGUUCAUUGAUCUCAUUCUACCAAAACGAGUCUAGUAGAGUCUUGCGGAACGGUACGAAGACGUCCAUACUUUUCUUCGAGAGGCUAUAGGAUUUUAGGAAACACUCACUUCUUUUUACUUCUUUGUGUUAUGACUUGAAUCAAUACAAAUUGGUAUAUAAGUGAUACAAAUUGGUAUAUUUCCUCCUUCACUCUAUGGUCCGUACUAGAGCAACAAAAGUGGUAACACCAUCACUAGCAAGAGGGGAUGUGUAUAGACUACCGACAGUUGAAUAAGGUCACUAUUCGGAACAAAUAUCCACUGCCUCGGAUAAAUGAUAUUUUGACCAGUUGCAGGGUGCAUCAGUUUUCUCUAAGAUAGAUCUAAGGUUUGGCUAUCAUCAGUUAAAGAUUAGGCCGAGGAUAUACCAAAAAUGGUAUUUAGGACCCGCUAUGGACAUUAUGAGUUUCUAGUUAUGUUGUUUGGGUUGACAAAUGCGCCUACAACUUUCGUGAGUUUGAUGAAUAGUGUGUUCAAACUAUUUCUAGAUUCGUUUGCUAUAGUAUUUAUUGGUGACAUUUUAGGUUUAUUCGAAAAGUGAGGAAGAGCAUGUCGACCAACCUCGUAUUAUUUUGGGUGUUCUUGGGAAACAAAAGUUGUAUGCGAGAUUUUCUAAGUGUGAAUUUUGUUGACUUCGGUUGUCUUUUUGGGGCAUGUAGCUUCAAGGGAAGGGGUAAUGGUAGAUCCCCAAAAAAUUGAAGCAGUAAGGAAUUGGGUCUGACUUAGUUCUGUGACUGAAAUUAAGAGUUUUGUAGGGCUCGUUAGCUACUAUCGUCGCUUGUGAGGGAUUAAGGUCAUAUUUGCAGAUUCAAGUUUAUAGAUGAUAACAUUCAAGAAAUUUUGGUAAGGGACGGUUAGAUAAUGAACACCAUUACUUUGGAAAAUGCAUUUAGUAUUGUUGUCAUAACAUGUAUGGGUUGUUUAGCGAAUGAUGAAAUUAAGUUAUGAUUAUUGAGGUUAGAAGCUAUACUAUGAUUUCCUGGAUUGAUGGUAUAUCAAAAAGAUUCAUGAUACGCUGCUCCAAUAGCAGCAAUGUUUACUUGGUUUAGUUAUGAAGUGUGUUAAAAUUGUGGAGAACCUGGGCAUAUGAGGAGGAAAUCAGCGAGGUCGUGGAGGCCGAGGAAUGGUAAUGCGGGUAGAGGAGUAGUGCAGCCAUGCAAGGAGGUUGCCCAUCAAGAUAACAGGGCUCAGUUUUAUGCCUAUCCGGGAAAGACCGAGGCUGAAGGUCUGAUGUAGUGAUCACAAGUACUAUUAUCACAAGUUCUACUUAUUCUUAUGUGUCCAUGUGAUUUGCCUCAGAAUUUGAUAUGAUUUGUGAUAUACUUAAUGCCCCAAUCCAUGUUUCUACCUCAUAAACAUGGGAUCGGUUGCCACGUUCCAGCAUAAACAUUGGAUCGUCUACCACGUACCAGUAUGCUAACAGUUUGGGCGUGGGUUCCAUGAAAGGAACAUUGAAUUGGGUUCCAUGAGAAGACCAUUAAAUUGGGUUUCAUUAGAGGACCAUUGAAUUGUGUUGUGUAUCUACUUGUGAUGAUUACGUUCAUAUCUAAUGAUGAUUGAUAUUGGAAGACUGUAUGUUAAUCUAAAAUGAUAACCAAUGUUUAUUAUUGAGAACGUUGAAUGCUACGUUGAUCCUGGAAAGAUGACUAAUAUUGUAUAUGUUCGGUAUAUGCUUGUUUUAUAAUGUUGUGGUUACUUGCAUGUGUUUCACUUAUUGGGAUAGCCGUGUGAUCCUACCAGUACACUGUGGUUGUGUACUGAUACUGCACUUGCUCUUUCUUAGUUGAGUAAAGGGCAUCUUCCGGCGGCUAUUGACAAACCUCGAUUAGAAGAUCAGUGAUCAUUUCGAAUUCAAGGGUGAGCCAGUUCUUUCGGGCUGUCAUGAGUUAUCUUUCUGUUUAUGUCCACAUUUCGGACUUAGACUAGUUCUUUCGAUUUCUUAUGUUAGUUUGGGAUAGUACCCCUUCUUGUUUAGACUUAUGGUUGUACUUUAAAUGUUUUGGUACAAUGACUUUCAGGUUCUAGGUAUUUAUUCCGUAUUUGUUUUGGGUUGUUAGACUUUUGUUGGAGUUUAUGGGAACUCCUCAUUUCUUUCCUUAGCAUUUAAACUUGUUUAUGUAACCUUAAAUGCCUAAGUAUUUUGAUUUAGUUAGUUAGCUAAUUAGUAUAAAUGGUUCUCCCACCGGAAGGUUAGCGUGGGUGUCACUCACAACGGUCUGGUUCGUGACAGAAGGAAACACCGACAUAUAGUUAUAGUUGAAAUGACUUUGAUUCUGAUGAUAAAUAAUGGAGCACUAAAGUGAGUUAGAACACAAAUUUCGUUCUUCUCUUACCGUUCCUCCAUCGAACGCUAGUACAGAAGGAAUGAAAUGGCUUAAGGGCUUUCACUGUAUAAUUUAAAACUAAGUAGAAAGGAAUCAAUAUUACCUCUAUAAUUAUAUAAUACAUGUGCAUUCAUAGAUGUACCAUCACUAUCAUCGUCAGUCAACCAAAAAGAAAAAUCACUAAAAGUAACAACUGCCAAGAUAUGCAUAGUAAUUCGAUCUUUUGAUCACCCAUUUAUGAAAUAUCCAUUUUAGGGGCUUACGUAUUAUACGCGAAAGAUUGGAUUGUCUGAAUCACUAGUGUUAUAUAUUGUGUUACGAUCGCUUCAUAUUGAUAAAAAGAAACACAAGCUGCUAGUGAGGUUGUGCUCAUUCUCCCUCUUCUUCCGCUUUACAACCGAAAUAAGGAACCUUCAAGUUCACCCUACAUGUUGAUGAAAUACCAUCAAAAGUGGCAUAAGAACCACCUGGAUUUCGUUUCUUUGAUAUAUAUAUCUAUUUGUGUAACAUCUCGCUAAUUGAAAGAACUAGAAAGAGUUAGAAUUGGAAAUAGUCAUUUUAGGAAAGAAUGAAAAAUCUAGAAAUUUAUUAAGUUAUGUUAAGUUUGAGUUUUUGGUCAACUUCAAAUGACCAUAACUCCUAGAUCAAGAUGAUUUAGGUGUGCUUCCAGAUACCAUAGGAAAUAUCUUGGAAUUAUCUUUCAAACGCCACCGAGUUUGCGCAAUUCCGAGUUCGUAUGAGUGAGAUAUGCCUAUUUGAAGUUGGGUUGUUCAAAUAAGGAAAGUGUAAACCGAAUUUUUGAAAGGUAUUUCAGUCUUUACCUUACCCAUUUAUUUAAAGUCGUUUUUAGGAGUUUAUUUAGGGUUUAAUAAGAAUUACACCAGUUUAGAAAAGUUGAAGUUCACGCUAGGCUUGGAGAAAAGAGAAAAGAUGAGAAAGGAGAAGAAAAGUCAAGAUUCGUCAAGUUCUUCAAGAAUCGCUUGUGGAUUUCGUCAAGGGGAAAUCCCUACAAGGCAUGUGAGAUCACAUAGUGUUGGGUUAGUUCACCCACGCGCCAAUCAUGAUUCAAUUCAGCGAAGUAUAUUAAUUUGAAAGUAAAUCUUAUGAGUUCUUGAUGAAAUUCGUUUGAAAUCUUGUGGGUUCUUGUCGUUCAAGUUUCUUGAGUUUGAUUCAUGAUUUUAGGUGUGAUUUCGAGUAGAAUCUGAUGUAUUUUGAUGGUAUAGUUGAUUCUAAGUGUUUGGGAAAAGAACCAAAUCAAAAUAGGGGGUUUUAGGGAUGAAAAAUGAAGAAGAAAAGUUAAUACCCACCUGGGCAAGGGACUGGGGAGCCACCCCAGGCAGAGUGCCCCAAAAGGGGCUCUGAAGUUUGGGCUCUGGGGCGCCGUGUCAUCCAGAGCGCCCCAACCCAACCCCUGAAGUUUUGCCUCUGGCGCCCCAAGUCGCUUAGAGCACCAGGGACGCCAAGUUUCUCACCCUUUCCCCCUUCUUUUCGUACUAGUUCCUUAGCAACGUACCUAUGUUUUCUAGUCGAUUUCUAUACUCUAAGGUACCUCUAAACAUCAAGAAAUCAUCCAUAACAUGAGAUCACGAACCUUGAAUCCAUAAUCAAAUUCAAGGAAAGUUAAGAUCAAAGUCAACAGAAGUAAGAUUCAAGUCAAGAACAGUUCUUAGAGUUUUCCAAAGUCUUUUCCAAAUGUUUUAACUUGGUUUUAAGACUUACAAUUCAAGUUGAGUAAAAAGUAAAGAGUAGAGAUUAAAGUUCAUUUCUUCAAAAGUAUAUGGGACUAUGUAUUCCCAAAGAGUUUAAAAUGUUUUCACAUUUAAACAAGAGAAGGAAACCUUGACUUCUAAAGAGCCUUUGAGCUAGUUUUCAGAAAAGAGUAAAUGCUUUCACAAUUAAGCAAGAGGGGAAACUUUAAUUUCCAAGAUAGCCUUUGAGCUAAGUUUUUGAGUAAUUAUCUCAAAUCACAGAAAGAAGUAUGUUUUUAAACAUAAGAGCUAAUAUCAUAUUUUGGGAGUAGUAUUGAGCACUGAUAUGGGGGAGAGUUCAGACAACUCUCAGCCCCUAUAAACUAUGUAGCCACCAUGGGUAGAAAAGGGUCAUACUUUUUAGAUGAUUCAUUUAGUGCUUUUUUGCAUAGACUAGUGGAUUCACUUAGUAGUUUAGGUUCUAUACAUCGGCAACGUAUAGGACGGCCCUGGCAGCGUGAGGCAAAAUGUUGAAUCAUCACAAUAGCUCUUAAGUGAUGGUUGUCGGUUAGAGAAACUCCCACAUCAAUAUUAUUUUAUAUUUUUAUAUACAUCUCAGAGUUUUAUUAUAUCUUUGAAUACACAUCAGAGUUACUAUUGUAUUCCUAAAUACACAGAGUUGAUAUCCAUGUUUUAAAAGCUUUUCUUUAUAUUGCAUUUAUAUUAUUUAUUUAUAUUGAAAUAAAUUCAGUUCAAUUCAAUUCAGUUGAGACCAGGUUUGUUCUUUCAGUUCCUUUCAAGCUUAUGCUUGUUUUAGAAUUCCCCUCGCAUACUCGUACAUUCAAUGUACUAAUGUCAUUUGGCUUGCAUUUUUUAAUGAUGCAGACACAGGUAACCAGGAUCAUCAUCCAGCGCAUCGUUGAUUCUAGUUGACCUCCAGAGUUGUUGGUGAGCCUCUUUGCUUCCAGAGGACUCCUUUUAUUGCUUUUCAGUAUUCAGUUCAUUAGAAUGUCGUGGGUCUUGUCCCGACAUCCCUCCUUAUUUUAGAGGCUUCAUAGAUAGUCGGACAGUUAGUUAUGAGUUUUUUAACUUUGUAUUUCAGAUGUUUUGCUAUGAGACUUGAGUAGCCAUUUUGGCUAGUUUGAAUGCUUCCUUUAAAGACAUUCUAAGCUUUUCACAAGUUCUUUAUUUGAGGUUAUUUCUGAGGUUUAAGUCUUCCGUUGAGUAAGUAAGUCAGGUCAAGCGUUUGCUUGGGGAAAGGAAUUAUUCUCGAGUUCCAAUCCAACCCAGGGUGUAGACUCGGGGAGUGACACACUUGGUAUUAGAGCACAAAGUUCAAGAGUCCUAGGGAGUCUAUGAUGUCGUGUCUGUAGAGUCCUAGUUAUCGGUGUGAAGCGCGCCACAUUUAUAAUUAGGAGGCUGCAACACUUAGGAAAUUAUCUUACUUCUUACAUACUUACAUUGUGCGAUUGAGUUCAUCUCUAUAAUGUUUCUUUCUAACUCGUGUUUGCGCGUAACCAAUUGUGAGAUGGGCUAUGGUCGAAAGGGACUUCUUGGGGCGAUUCUUCCCCAGAGAACUGAGAGAGGCUAAGGUACGAGAGUUCCUCACACUUAAGAGGGAUUCUUUGAGCGUGCAUGAGUAUAGUUUGAGGUACACACAACUUUCCCGGUAUGCUCCGGAGAUGGUUGCGGACAUGAGAAGCAGAAUGAGUUUAUUUGUUGCUAGGUUGUCUCGUCUGUCAAGCAAGGAAGGCAAGGCAGCUAUGCUAAUAGGUGACAUGGAUAUAGCAAGGUUGAUAGUCUAUGUGCAGUAGGUUGAGAAGGAGAAACUAAGGGAUAGAGAGGAGUUAAGAAACAAGAAAGCGAAGACAGGGAAUGAGUUCGGGCAGCAAAGAAAUAAUGUGAACCGGUAUUCUUUACAACUAAAGCAGAAGGGACCUGGACUAUCAUCUGCUAGUGCACCUGCACCCAGAAACAAAAGUGAGUACAAUAGUCAUAAUUUCAGAGCCAAACCUGCCUAUUCUCAGGGUAGUAUAGCUCAAGGGGAUAGUAAGCCUCCUACAUGUGCUAAGUGUGGUAGACACAACUUAGGGACAUGUCGUGAUGACUCCACUAGUUGCUUUAAGUGUGGCCAGAACGGUUAUUUCAUGCGGGAGUGUCCAAAGAACAAGCAGGGUAACGGUAAUGGGGGUAAUAGAGCCCAGUCUUCUUCAGUUGCUCCACCAGACAGAGCUGCACCUAGAUAAGCUACUUCAGGUAUUGGCGGAGCAACAAACCGUCUAUAUGCUAUCACUAGUCGCCAAGAGCAAGAUGAUUCGCCAGAUGUUGUCACUGGUAUGAUCCAAGUCUUUAACUUUAAUGUUUUUGCUUUGCUAGAUCCAUAAGCGAGUUUAUCCUUUGUAACUCCGUAUGUUACAAUGAAUUUUAAUGUUCUUCCUGAGCAACUUAGUGAGCCCAUCAGUGUUUCUACACCUGUUGGUGAGUCUAUUCUAGCAGAAAGAGUCUAUCGUGAUUGUCCCAUUUUCGUCAAUCACAAGAGUACCAUGGAUGAUUUAGUUGAGUUAGACAUGGUAGAUUUUGAUGUCAUUCUUGGUAUGGACUGGCUUCAUACCUGUUAUGGCUCAUUUGAUUGUAGAACUCGAGUUGUCAAGUUCCAGUUUCCAAAUGAGCCAGUCUUAAAGUGGAAAAGUAGUUCAGCAGUGCCUAAGGGAUGUUUCAUUUCAUACCUUAAGGCAAAAAAGUUAGUUUCUAAGGGGUGUUUCUAUCACUUAGUCUGAGUUAAUGACUCUAGUGUUGAGAUACCCCCUAUUCAGUCAAUUUUAGUAGUAAGAGAAUUUCCAUAAGUCUUUCCAAAUGAUCUUCCCGGAGUCCCUCAUGAGAGAGAAAUAGACUNNNNNNNNNNNNNNNNNNNNNNNNNNNNNNNNNNNNNNNNNNNNNNNNNNNNNNNNNNNNNNNNNNNNNNNNNNNNNNNNNNNNNNNNNNNNNNNNNNNNNNNNNNNNNNNNNNNNNNNNNNNNNNNNNNNNNNNNNNNNNNNNNNNNNNNNNNNNNNNNNNNNNNNNNNNNNNNNNAGAGAGAUAGACUACGGCAUAGACCUUCUUCCAGAUACUCGUCUUAUAUCUAUUCCGCCAUAUAGGAUGGCUCCAUCAAAGUUAAAAGAUUUGAAAGAAGAGUUGAAAGAUCUCUUAGAUAAGGGUUUUAUUCAGCCAAGUGUCUCACAUUGGGGUGCUCCGGUCUUGUUUGUGAGGAAGAAGGAUGGUUCCCUUAAGAUGUGUAUAGAUUACCGUCAGUUGAACAAGGUUACCAUCAAGAAUAAAUAUCCUCUCCCAAGGAUUGAUGAUCUUUUUGAUCAACUUCAGGGUGCCACAUGUUUCUCUAAGAUAGACCUCAAAUUAGGCUACCAUCAGUUGAGGGUAAGGGAAUGUGAUAUUCCAAAGACAACAUUCAGGACCCGUUAUAGUCAUUAUAAGUUCUUAGUUAUGUCAUUUGGUUUAACCAAUGCGCCUGCAGCAUUUAUGGACCUUAUGAAUAGAGUAUUCAAACCUUAUUUAGAUAUGUUUGUUAUCGUAUUCAUUGAUGACAUACUAAUCUAUUCAAGGAAUGAAGAAGAUCAUGCUAGUCAUUUCAAAAUAGUUCUCUAAACUUUAAAGGAUAGAGAGUUAUAUGCCAAGUUCUCUAAGUGUGAAUUUUUUAUUGAGUCUGUGGCAUUCUUAAACCACAUUGUGUCUGGAGAGGGAAUUAAAGUUGACACUCAAAAAUAGAGGCAGUGCAGAAUUGGCCUAGACCCACAUCUCCAACUGAUAUUAAGAGUUUCUUGGGGUUGGUUGUAUAUUAUAGAAGGUUCAUAGAGGGGUUAUCGUCCAUUUCAUCCCCUUUGACCAAGUUGACUCAGAAAACAGAGAAGUUUCAGUGGUAUGAAGUUUAUGAGAAAAACUUUUAGGAAUUGAAAAAAAAGGUUAACUACUGCCCAGUAUUGACUUUACCAGAAGGUACGCAAGGCUUUAUUGUGUACUGUGAUACGUCUAGAGUUGGUUUGGGUUGUGUUUUAAUGCAGAAUGGCAAAGUUGUAGCUUAUGCCUCCAUACAGUUGAAAGUUCAUGAGAAGAAUUAUCCAACCUAUGAUCUAGAAUUGGCUGCCGUAGUAUUUGCUUUGAAAAUAUGGCGCCAUUAUCUUUAUGGUGUUCAUGUGGAUGUGUUCACCGAUCACAAGAGUCUUCCAGAUGUGUUUACUCAUAAAGAUCCUAAUCUCAGACAAAGGAGGUGAUUAGAAUUACUCAAUGAUUAUGACAUGAGUAUUCUUUAUCACCCAGGUAAGGCUAAUGUUGUUGCUAAUGCUUUAAGCAGGUUCUCUAUGGGUAUUAUCACCCAUGUUGAGGAAGAAAAUAGAGAGUUAGCGAAAGAUGUGCAUAGGCUUGUACGAUUGGGAGUUCGACUAAUGGAUUCCACAAAAGAAAGAGUAGUGGUGAUGAAUGAGGUUGAAUCAUCAUUAGUGUCAGAAGUAAAAGAAAAUCAAGACCAAGAUCCUAUUUUGCUUGAAUUAAAGGCAAAUGUUCAUACGCAAAAAGUUUUGGCUUUUGAACAAGGGGGAGAUGGCGUAUUGAGAUAUCACAGUAGGUUGUGUGUACCAAGGGUGGAUAAGCUCCAAGAGAGGAUCAUGGAGGAAGGUCAUAGCUCCAGAUAUUUCAUUCAUCCGGGUUCCACAAAAAUGUAUUGUGAUUUGAGAGAUGUUUAUUGGUGGAGUGGUAUGAAUAAGGGCAUGGCAGAGUUUGUUGCUAAGUGUCCGAAUUGCCAACAAGUUAAAGUAGAGAAUCAAAUGCCAGGUGGUAUGGUUCAGAAUAUAUAACUUCCGGAGUGGAAGUGGGAGAUGAUCAAUAUGGACUUCAUCACAUGUUUACCACAGUCUCGCAGGCAACAUGAUUCUAUUUGGGUGAUUGUUGAUAGAAUGACAAAAUCAGCCCUUUUUUUACCGGUAAAGACUACCCAUACAACAGAAGAUUAUGCUAAGUUGUAUCUUCAAGAGGUAGUUAGACUUCAUAGGGUUCCAGUUUCCAUUAUUUCAGACAGAGAUGCAUAAUUUAUUGCGCAGUUCUGGAAAUCUUUUCAGAAAGGCUUAGGUUCAAAUGUGAACUUAAGUUCUACUUUUCAUCCUCAAACAGAUGGUCAAGAAGAGCGCACUAUUCAGACCUUAGAGGAUAUGUUGAGGGCUUGUCUGAUUGAUUUCAAAGGUAAUUGCGAUGAUCACCUACCUCUUAUUGAAUUUGCUUACAACAAUAGUUAUCACUCUAGCAUCCAAAUGGCUCCUUAUGAAGCUCUUUAUGGGAGAAGGUGUAGAUCUCCUAUUGGAUGGUUUGAAGUUGGUGAAGAUGGGUUGAUAGGACCAGACUUAGUUCAUCAAGCUAUGGAGAAAGUGAAAAGUCAUUCAAGAGAGGUUGAAAAACGGCACAGAGUCGUCAGAAAUCCUACACUGAUGUUAGGAGAAGGGAGUUAGAGUUUGAAGUAGAUGAUUGGGUAUACAUGAAAAUUUCACCAAUGAAUGGUGUUAUGAGAUUUGGUAAGAAGGGGAUGCUUAGUCCCCGAUAUAUUGGUCCUUACAGAAUAUCCAAGAGGAUUGGCAAUGUAGCUUACGAGUUAGAGCUACCAAAAGAGUUAGAAGUGGCUCAUCCGGUAUUUCAUAAUUCCAUGUUGAAGAAGUGCAUGUGAGAUUCUUCACUUAUCAUACCAACUGAAGAUAUUGGAUGUUAAGUUAGAGAUUUUGGUCAACUUCAAACGACCAUAACUCCUAGCUCAGGAUGAUUUAGGUGUACUUCUAGAUACCGUAGGAAAUAUCUUGGAAUUAUCUUUCAAACGCCACCGAGUUUGCGCGAUUCCGAGUUCGUAUAAGUGAGAUAUGCCUAUUUGAAGUUGGGCUAUCCAAAUAAGGAAAGUGUAAACCGGAAUUUGGAAGGGUAUUUUAGUCUUUUCCUUACCCAUUUAUUUUAAGUCGUUUUUAGGAGUUUAUUUGGGGUCUAAUCAGAAUUACACCAGUUUAGAAAAGUUGAAGUUCACGCUAGGGCUUGGAGAAAAGAGAAAAGAGGAGAAAGGAGAAGAAAAGUCAAGAUUCGUCAAGUUCUUCAAGAAUCGCUUGUGGUUUUCGUCAAGGGGUGAUCCCCACAAGGUAUGUUAGAUCACAUAGCAUUGGGUUAGUUCACCCACGCGCCAAUCAUGAUUCAAUUCCGCGAAGUAUAUUGAUUUGAAAGUAAAUCUUAUGAGUUCUUGAUGAAAUUCAUUUGAAAUCUUAUGGGUUCUUGUCGUUCAAGUUCCUUGAGUUUGAUUCAUGAUUUUAGGUGUGAUUUCGAGUAGAAUCUGGUGUAUUUUUAUGGUAUAGUUGAUUCUAACUGUUUGGGAAAGAACCAAGUCGAAAUAGGGGGUUUAGAGAUGAAAAACGAAGAAGAAAAGUUGAAACCCACCUGGCAGGGGCCUGGGGUGCCGCCCUAGCCAGAGUGCCCCAAAAGGGGCUCUGAAGUUUGGGCUCUGGGGCGCCGCGCCAUCCAGAGCGCCCCAACCCAACCCCUGAAGUUUUGCCUCUGGCGCCCCACGUCGCUCAGAGCGCCAGGGACGCCAGGUUUCCCACCAUUUCCCCCUUCUUUCCGUACUAGUUCCUUAGCAACGUACCUAUGUUUUCUAGUCGAUUUCUAUACUCUAAGGUACCUCUAAACAUCAAGAAAUCAUCAAUAACAUGAGAUCAUGAACCUUGAAUCCCUAAUCCAAUUCAAGGAAAGUUAAGAUUAAAGUCAAGAAAAGUAAGAGUCAAGUCAAGAAAAGUUCUUAGAGUUUUCCAAANNNNNNNNNNNNNNNNNNNNNNNNNNNNNNNNNNNNNNNNNNNNNNNNNNNNNNNNNNNNNNNNNNNNNNNNNNNNNNNNNNNNNNNNNNNNNNNNNNNNNNNNNNNNNNNNNNNNNNNNNNNNNNNNNNNNNNNNNNNNNNNNNNNNNNNNNNNNNNNNNNNNNNNNNNNNNNNNNNNNNNNNNNNNNNNNNNNNNNNNNNNNNNNNNNNNNNNNNNNNNNNNNNNNNNNNNNNNNNNNNNNNNNNNNNNNNNNNNNNNNNNNNNNNNNNNNNNNNNNNNNNNNNNNNNNNNNNNNNNNNNNNNNNNNNNNNNNNNNNNNNNNNNNNNNNNNNNNNNNNNNNNNNNNNNNNNNNNNNNNNNNNNNNNNNNNNNNNNNNNNNNNNNNNNNNNNNNNNNNNNNNNNNNNNNNNNNNNNNNNNNNNNNNNNNNNNNNNNNNNNNNNNNNNNNNNNNNNNNNNNNNNNNNNNNNNNNNNNNNNNNNNNNNNNNNNNNNNNNNNNNNNNNNNNNNNNNNNNNNNNNNNNNNNNNNNNNNNNNNNNNNNNNNNNNNNNNNNNNNNNNNNNNNNNNNNNNNNNNNNNNNNNNNNNNNNUUCAGUUCCUUUCAAGCUUAUGUCUUGUUUUAGAAUUCCCCUCGCAUACUCGUACAUUCAAUAUACUGAUGUCAUUUGGCCUGCAUGUUUUAAUGAUGCAGACACAGAUUACCAGGAUCAGCAUACAGCGCAUCAUUGAUUCUAGUUGAGCUCCAGAGUUGUUGGUAAGCUUCCUUGCUUCCGGAGGACUCCUUUUAUUGCUUUUCAGUAUUCAGUUCCUUAGGAUGUCGUGAAUCUUGUCCCGACAUCCCUCCUUAUUUUAGAGGCUUCAUAGAUAGUCAGACAGUUAGGUAUGAGUCUUUUAGCUUUGUAUUUCAGAUGUUUUGCUAUGAGACUUAAGUAGCCAUUUUGGCUAGUUUGAAUGCUUCCUUUAAAGACAUUCUAAGAUUUUCACAAGUUCUUUAUUUGAGGUUAUUUCUGAGGUUUAAGUCUUCCGCUGAAUAAGUAAGUCAAGUCAAGGGUUUGAUUGGGUCCAGCAAUGGUUCUCGAGUGCCAGUCCCGCCCAGGGUGUAGGCUUGAGGGGUGACAACUUCGACCAAACCAAGUAGGUAGGCUCCAUCUUGUUCUAUAUUUUCCACUGUCUGUAUUCAUAUUAAGUGAUGUAUAAUCUUAGAUUUUGAGAAAUAAUUUGAAGCAUAUGUAAUUCAUAUUAAAGUAAAACGUGAAAAAAAUAAAAUAUUCUUCUCAUAUGCUACAAUUUAAGUAAAAAUUUUCACAUGCAAUAACAUUCAGGGGCAGAGCCACGUUGUCGUCGAAAAAUUAUACUAUCUAUACACGUAAAAUUUUGACUUUAUAUUGGUAAAUAUAGUAUUUUGGGCACCCUGAAAUAACAAAGUAACUUGUAGUGGAGUUGGCUAGAGCUGUCGCAAACCCACUCGCUACCCCAGUUUGAUUUCCCGCAUGAGCGUUUCCAUAUUUCUGUAAUUAUUUUGCCUUCUUGAAGUUAAUAAGUAAAUAAACAUGCAUAACUUUAACAUAAAUGUUCAAUAGCUUGGUGGUAAAUAGUGUUAAGCUUGUCUUCAGUGACCCAAGUUCAAUUCUCACCUCCAAUAAGAAAUUAUUUUCAAUUAAAAUUGAAUUAUUUCCUUAAAUUUUAAUACAUUUUCCUUUUGAAAUAAGGUUUUCUUUCUCUAUAAAUAGGAGACCCAUUUCCUUAAAUCGGCUCAUUUUAUUCAUUGUUUUGCUCAUCAACUUCAACUAACUUUUGUUGUAGUUUCAAAAAACUGUGUUCAAGUGGGAGAACUUGUGUUAUUGGUUUCAAAUAUUUUGAAUGUGUUGGGAGUUUAUUUUAAACGAAUGGAUGAAUUACGACAAUCUCAAAAAGAUAAUCUUCAAAAUGCAUUAGAUAUGGAUGAAAUAGCAACAAGUAGAGGCUUGAAUCAAGAACUAGAUCUUAUUAGAGCCGGCGAUACUCGUUGGGAAUCUCACUACAAAGCAUUUCAAAACUUUAUACUUUUGUUUGACUCUAUUAUUGAUGAUGUUGAUACACUUGUUGAAGAUGCAAAUACUUCAGAUGAAAGAGCCAAAAAACAUCAGGAUAUCUUAAAAGUUUUCAAACAUAUGAGGUUGCUUUCAUGUUACAUUUGAUGAAAGAUAUUUUGGGAAUCGCUUAUGAUCUUAAUAUAUCACUACAGAAAAAGGAGCAAGAUAUUGCAAAUGUCAUGAUACUUGUUGAAGUAGCCAAAAAAAAGGCUUCAAAAACUAAGAGAUAAUGGAUGGGAGCCACUUAUAAAUAAAAUAUCUAUAUAUUGUAUCAAACAUGACAUCUUGAUAGCCAAUUUUGAUGAGCCCUAUGCUAACUUUGGAAGAUCACGACGUAAAAUUGUUGAUCAUACUGUUUUACAUCAUUUUCCUGUGAAAGUAUUUUAUAAGAUUAUUGAUUGGCAACUUCAAGAACUUAAUGAUCGUUUCAAUGAGGUGACAAGUGAUUUGUUUUAUCGAGUAGCUUGCUUGAAUCCAGUUAAUUCAUUUUCUAGUUUUGACAUCUGAAAAAUAAUGAGAAUGGCUGAAUUAUAUCCUGAUGACCUUGAUCAAUUUAGUAUGGGAUUCCUUCACAAUCAGCUUGCCAAUUACAUUAUCGAUGCACGCGAUAUUGAUAAAAGAUUCUCUGAUUUAGGUGGACUUGGUGAACUUUCAAGAAAAUUGAUAGAGACAAAGAAAAAUUUAACUUAUCCACUUAUAUCCCGCUCAGUGAAAUUUGCUUUGCUUUUGCUAGUUGCUACUGCAACCGUUGAAAGAGCAUUCUCAGCAACGAAGUAUAUCAAAAAUGACUUGCGAAAUCGAAUGGAUGAUGAGUUUUUAGACGGUUGUAUAGUGUCUUAUGUAGAAAAGAAAGUAUUUCGUACUAUUUCUAAUGAGUCUAUUAUAAAAACAUUUCAGGAUAUGAAACCUCGUCGAGUACAAUUAUAAUAGCAUAUUUAAAUUAUGCUUUCAAUAGUAGUUCAUUUUGUCUUUAUGUCAAUUUUGAAUUAUACACUUGUUAAUUCUAUUAAGAAUAUUCUUAUAUUUAAUUAAAUAUUACUUAGCUUGAUUAUUUGUUUUGGUAUUUUAAAUCGUCGUUCUUUUCUUAAAAAAAUUACUAUAAAGUUUGGACACCCUUCACUGAUAACAUUAAUAAUUAUAUUAUUUAUGUAUAUUAUACCUACUAAAUACAUUUGUAUAUUUAAAAAAAAAGCAACAUUUAUAGUUUUUUAAGUAAUGAAGAAAAAAAAUCUUAAAAUAAUUACGUAUAAGAAAGAGAAAAAUUAUAAAAUCAUGUUCUUUUAAUUUUUCAUAUACUUGACGGUGCAGAUAUAAUGAGGAUGACGCUAAUUAGCUAUAGCUAAGUUAAGCAGAAAGUGAGAGAUAUUCCAAAAAAAGAGAGAAAAUAUUGAGGACGAUUUCAGAGCAACUCUAUUUUAUUUUUCUUUUGACUUAGUUCUAAUUACAUAGAAUGAUCAAAUUGAUAUAACGUCACACUAUUUUAAAUUUAUUUGUUAGUCAUAUUCUAGAAGAUUAAAAUGACUAAUUCAUUCUAGUCAAUCUAAACUUCAUUAAUUAAAUGAGAUAGCCAUGUUCAUAUCUUUCAAGACACGCAUGGUGCUAAUUAAUUGUAGCCCUAGAGAUUAAUUUUUAAAAAAAGCACAUGAAGGAGAAGAAGGGAAACAAUAAUUUAAUUACUUACAUAUUGUGUGGAGAUAGUUCAACACUCCCAAGUAGAACAUUAUCUUUUUAACCCAAAAGUCUUAAUAAAUUGCAUGUGUUUAAACUAGAACAUUUUAACCUUAUUUUUAAUCAUAACAUCACUGAUCAAAAUGAUGUAUGUGAAGAAGGAAGAUCAAGUUUUGUUAAGAUAAUUUAGGUCAAAGAGAAAAUUGUUAGGCUAUUUUGCCCUAAUUUUUAACCAUAGUUUAUGUAUUUUUUUUUAUUAUAUGCAAGUCAAAUAUUGGCUAUAUAUAUAUAUAUUGUCUGAUUUAUUGUUGUCUAAGAUUUACAAUUAUUAGAUUUUGUAUUAUGUCUUGUUAUUUCAAUCCCAACACAUUUAUGAAAUUUACUCUUUGCACGAGUCAUUUUUGAGUCAAUUUCCUAAAUAGUUAUAGCCACUCAAGUUGAUGAAUUUAUCUAAUAAAAUUAUUUUACUUUAUUUUGUAAUAAGAAAUCAACUAAGUAAUUUAUUCCUCUGAAAGUCAACAACUAGGAUCCACAGAUAUUUUCUUACGUAUCUAUUAAGAUAAGCAGACAGUGAGAGAUAUUCACCAAAAAAAAAAAUGAGUAGAGGGUUUUUAGAAGCACACUUAAUUUAAAAACCAAUUUAUUCUUUUUGACUUAGUUCUAGUUGGAUAAAAUGUGAUAUAAACGUCACACUAUUUUAAUUUAAUUGUUAGGCUUUGUCAAGGAAAAAAACUAGUAAUUUAUAUUAUAGUCAAUGUAACAUAAAAGAUAAAAGAUAAAAUGUGAUAUGAACUUCAUUGAUGAUCGAAGGACAAGGGAGGUCAGAAAAAUAAAAGAUAUAGAACUUAUUAUUUUUAUACCGGAAAUAAAGAAGUAAUUCAUAUUAUUAUAUCAUUCUAGAUUAGACCAUAAAGAAGAUAUUAAAAUUAUACAUACGAAACAUGUAAAAAAAAACAUAUAUACUAUCAGUUAUUUGACAUAGCUGCUAUAACAUAUUCCCCAUGUCCCUAAUUACUUGUCCACUUUUCAUUUUUUAGUUGUCCCAAAUUACUUGUUCAUUUUGGCAAAUCAAGAAAGGACAAUUUGUGUUUACCUAUUAUACCCUCAAUUAAUUACUACUUUUAAAAAGAUAGUAACUUCUUGAAAAUCUUAAGUUUUUAAUUCAUCCACUUCAUAAUUAAUAGAGGUAAAAUAGAAAACUCACUAUGUCAAUAAUUAUUUUCUUAAUAAGUAUGUCAAUUCAAAAGUGGACAAAUAAUUAGAGACAGAGGGAGUAUUAUAUUAUCAUAUUACAUAUCAAUCUCAAGGACGUCUUAACCCCUCGGCCAUUAAAGUCAAUUGCUUGAGGUCCUAUGUUUUUGGGGGACUCCCAUUUUAAAAAAAAAAAUUAUAUGUACUAUGAGUGCUAUGAUGUCUACUAAGGAAAUUGCAUAUGAGAUGAAUAUAGAACCUGAAUUUUGUAAGAAACAAUUUGAUAAAGAUAUUGAUAGUGAAACCACAAAGUCCCUUGAAAUUAGAGUUGAUUACUUUAUAUAUAUAGUAGAUCAAGCUAUUUUUUCACUUCAAAAUAGAUUUGAACUAAUUGAAGCAUAUGAAAAUAUUUAUGAUUUCUUAUUUAGUGAAAAAUUGAGAUCACUAGAUAAUGAGAAUAUUUUAAAAAACAUUGUCUUAACCUUGAACAUUCUUUAACACAUAAUAGUUAUUCUGAUAUUGAUUUAUUUUUUGAAUUAAAAUUGUUAAGAGAAGUAAUACUAGUAGAAGAUAAUGAUUUAAUAAAAAUACUCAAUCAAAUAAAAAGACUUGAUUCUUUUCCAAAUACACAUAUUGCUUAUAGGACAAUGACACAAUGUUAACUGUUCAUGUAGUCGUUGCCUCAACCGAAACAAGUUUUUCGAAACUAAAAUUGAUUAAACUUAUUUUAGAUCAACAAUGUCUCAAGAGAUAUCGAAUGGAUUAACCAUAUUAUCAAUUGAAAAGGAAUUAUUAAAACAAAUCAAUUAUAAAACAGUAACGGGUAAAAAACAUAAAAAUCGUGUAGCUAUUUAUUUUAUAAUAAAUUUUCAUAUUUGUAAUUAAAAUGUUAAUGUUGUAAAUAAAAAGACUAGAAUAAUAUUAUUUAAAUAAAGGUCUUAAAUAGUGUAUUCUUGUAAUUUUUCCAACAAUAACUAAUGACUUCGCAUCUAAAAAAAUCAGAAAGUAGAUUUUAAAUAAAAGUAUAUAUGAUGAAAAAAUAAAAUAUUAGAAUCCCUCUCUUAAAUUUCGCUUUAGGCUCUCAAUCUUGUUGAGUCAGCCCUGAUCAAUCUUUAUAAUUUGUGAUUAUUUUUUCUAAUAAGAUAGUAUUCCCUUUCACUUCCAUAAAUCAAACCAAAGACUAUGGAAAAAAUGAUUACAGUGGAGGAAAUAAACUCACACUAAUAUACACAUGUACAUACACACAAAACACGUAUUUAUAUUUAAAAAAUACACAAAAGCACAUACUUAUGUUAUUUUCUACAAUAAACAAAGUACUUCAUCAUACAUUCUCUCUCUUUUUUUUGUUUAUUUCUUAUGAUUAACACCAUGUAAAAGAAUGAUCUUCUUAACUGUUAGACAUAAUACCAUUAAUCUUUACAUCAUUUGAUAAUUUGUUCAUGGACAAAGCUGCAUUAAGAAACUCAUCAAUUGCUCUAAUAGAUGACCCUUUGAAACCCUCAUCAUCUAUAAUAGCAUUACUUAUCAUUUCUCUAACUUCACAAGCUUUCCUUCUAAUUUCAUUCCCUUUCUCAUUUAUCCCCAUAACAACCUCAAUUUUUUCCAAUAUAUCCUCAUGCUUAACUUGAGAAUUAUUCCCUCUAGCUACCUCAACACAAACACCAACAUCUUUUUCCAAGAACUUUGCAUUGUAAAAUUGCUCUGCUGCAAUAGGCCAACCAAGAAGUGGCACUCCAUUUUCAAGUGAUUCCAAUACUGAAUUCCAUCCACAAUGUGUCAAGAAAGCUCCGACUGAUUUGUGUGCCAAGAUUUCAACCUAUUGUGACAAAAAAUGAAAAUAUGGUUACACGCUUAUCUGAUAUUAGAAUAGAUAAGAGGUAUCGGGUUCAAAUCUCAUAGAAAAUUGAAAAGUAAAAAAUAUGUUCACCACGUGUUUGGUCCAAGUAAAAGAAGAUAUUAAAUAAUUGAAAGUGUGAAAUCUCUGACAAUUUAUACUUUCAAAUAAGUUGAUCGCAAACCUGAGGAGCCCAUUUCGGCACUAUGAGUCCCCUAUUUUGAUCCUUGAAAACACGUUGAACAAACCCCUCAGGAAGCCACUCCUCUGCUCUGAAUUCCAUGUUUAUGUCAAAACCCAAAGGAGGUCUAACAGCCCAUAUAAAGUUUACUCUACUAGCAUUAUCCAAGGCUAUUGCCAAUUCCAUCAUUUGUGAUGCUGAUAUUCUGUUCUGAGAGCCAAAAGAAAUGUAAAGUACUGAUUCUUCUUCUUUUUCAUCAAGAAAUUUGAUGAACUUCUCUGUUUCUUCCACUGUUUCAUUACCAGCUCUUUGUUUAUUACUUGUUGGCCAAGGUAUUGGUCCUAUUGCCCAAACAGGUAUUCCUAAUUUUCGACGAAAAUAUGUUAAUCCAAGCUUGUCUAGACCUUCAAUUGUAUUGAAAAGAAUCCCAUCAGAGUUAAUCCAGUUAGGAAGAUUUUUCCAGUUGAAAUUUGUGUAAGGAUCAUUAGAAUCAGC
Molecule: long non-coding RNA, 40476 nt
Filed under: Solanum tuberosum (potato)
Lineage: Eukaryota; Viridiplantae; Streptophyta; Magnoliopsida; Solanales; Solanaceae
Description: long non-coding RNA (STUB_LNC010865)
Source: RNAcentral